GAACAGGUCAUAUCUUAAAUAUCUGUGGUAAAGUGACAUUCACCUAAAGGGUAGGACGUUAUCAAAGUGUAUAUAAUCAUGUUAAAAGUAUCGUGUUUAGAGAUAUGGACUAUUUUAUUUUUGGCAGUAAUAGUGACAUUUGUGUCUAGUCAUCCUACACGCUCGUCGUUGAAAGAAACAUCCGGACGAGGCCUUUCAUCCAAUAGUCAAUCAUCCGAACAGGCACUUUCACAAAGAAAUGAAGUAGUUUUUUCAACAAAAGUGAAAAGAUCUGUGUCUAGUAAAUUACAAACUACAAGAUGUCUAGUGGACGAAACUUAUAACGCUAUAUGUUACUUUUGUGGCAGAUUUUAUGACAGUAUUGAGGUGUAUGACCAGUGUUGUAAGGCCGAGGACGAUGUUUUAGAGCAAUUUUGUAUACAAGUGUAUAGCUGAUGAUAACAAAGGCACUGAAUUAAUACUUCAGAGAAAAAACAUAUCAGAUUUAACCAAAGAGCUCGAAUAUUUCUCAAGAAUCUCAAAGGAAAUGCAUGUCCAUCCACGUUUGCGAAGAUUUAUUACACAUUUUUAUUUUGAAUGAAUGAAAUGAAUGUGUCGUGUCUAUUAUUGAAUGAGUGGAAGAAACACGAGAAUGGCUUUUUUGAUUUUCAGGAACAACUUUAUUUUAUUGUUUUCAGAACUGUUAUUUGAGAUUUGUAUUUUUGUUGAAAUAAACUAUAUCCAAUAUUUUUGUCCAGAUAAAUGAAAACUACAUUUU
Long non-coding RNA from Mytilus californianus (California mussel), 757 nucleotides. RefSeq lists it as uncharacterized. Lineage: Eukaryota; Metazoa; Mollusca; Bivalvia; Mytilida; Mytilidae. The transcript is spliced from 2 exons. The record is from RefSeq and is a predicted model, not a curated record.